UACAGACAAUAAACUACUUCGACCGUCGGUAUUUCAAAGUUACUAACCAUCAACUGACUCUCGACGUACAGUCGGCCGACUUAUUCAAAAAUAUCAUAACCGUCACGGACGGUUACUCCACUGAUAUCAUCGCGUAAUCUAUGAGGAUUAAUAACCCACUAUGAGAUUACCGUCCUAUGAUUCUAUGCUGCUAAAUGUGGGAUCAUAUCCGACAGUUUUGACAAUCUACUCUAUAAAAAGGGGAUAAGGCAAUAAGUUUCGAUAAGCCAUUUUUCAUGCUG
Molecule: long non-coding RNA, 281 nt
Filed under: Elaeis guineensis (African oil palm)
Lineage: Eukaryota; Viridiplantae; Streptophyta; Magnoliopsida; Arecales; Arecaceae
Description: long non-coding RNA (EGUI_LNC057759)
Source: RNAcentral